This 588-nucleotide ribosomal RNA is filed under the name Bacillus subtilis. Its description in RNAcentral is "bacterial SSU rRNA". It matches the Rfam family "Bacterial small subunit ribosomal RNA", at positions 79 to 653 of the family's 1533-position model. The record is from RNAcentral. Lineage: Bacteria; Bacillati; Bacillota; Bacilli; Caryophanales; Bacillaceae.
UUGCUCCCGGAUGUUAGCGGCGGACGGGUGAGUAACACGUGGGUAACCUGCCUGUAAGACUGGGAUAACUCCGGGAAACCGGAGCUAAUACCGGAUAGUUCCUUGAACCGCAUGGUUCAAGGAUGAAAGACGGUUUCGGCUGUCACUUACAGAUGGACCCGCGGCGCAUUAGCUAGUUGGUGGGGUAAUGGCUCACCAAGGCGACGAUGCGUAGCCGACCUGAGAGGGUGAUCGGCCACACUGGGACUGAGACACGGCCCAGACUCCUACGGGAGGCAGCAGUAGGGAAUCUUCCGCAAUGGACGAAAGUCUGACGGAGCAACGCCGCGUGAGUGAUGAAGGUUUUCGGAUCGUAAAGCUCUGUUGUUAGGGAAGAACAAGUGCGAGAGUAACUGCUCGCACCUUGACGGUACCUAACCAGAAAGCCACGGCUAACUACGUGCCAGCAGCCGCGGUAAUACGUAGGUGGCAAGCGUUGUCCGGAAUUAUUGGGCGUAAAGGGCUCGCAGGCGGUUUCUUAAGUCUGAUGUGAAAGCCCCCGGCUCAACCGGGGAGGGUCAUUGGAAACUGGGAAACUUGAGUGCAGAA